GAUGAAGACGUAGCGAAAUGCGAUACGUAAUGUGAAUUGCAGAAUUCAGUGAAUCAUCGAGUCUUUGAAUGCACAUUGCGCCCCCUGGUAUUCCGGGGGGCAUGCCUGUCCGAGCGUCAUUGCUGCCCUCAAGCACGGCUUGUGUGUUGGGCCUCCGUCCUCCUCCCGGGGGACGGGCCCGAAAGGCAGCGGCGGCACCGCGUCCGGUCCUCGAGCGUAUGGGGCUUCGUCACCCGCUCUUGUAGGCCCGGCCGGCGCUUGCCGACACAUCAAUCUUUUUUCCAGGUUGACCUCGGAUCAGGUAGGGAUACCCGCUGAACUUAAGCAUAUCAAUAAGCGGAGGA
This 344-nucleotide unclassified non-coding RNA is filed under the name soil metagenome. Its description in RNAcentral is "partial contains 5.8S ribosomal RNA, internal transcribed spacer 2, and large subunit ribosomal RNA". The stretch from base 1 to 119 matches the Rfam family "5.8S ribosomal RNA", at positions 35 to 154 of the family's 154-position model. The record is from RNAcentral.